AAUUCAUGAAGCAGCAAACCCAGCAGAUCUCCAGCCCUCUGCCUCAGGACCUCUGUUGAAGAGGGGGAUGAAGUGGGUCUCCAGGGAGGCAGCGGGGGCCUUGUUGGCAGCUGGCUCAGGAGCCGGCUUACAGGAGGGCAGCUCUGCAGUUGGAGGGGCACCAUCCAGAGGAGACCAGGCCUCUGUGCACCCCCCACUCUACCUAUCAUCCCUGCUCACACCCUCUUGGCCAAGGCUUUGUGCAUCGGAUUUAUUUUUCCAAAUGAAGAGGACAGAGCGAUAGAUGCAUUUUCCUCAGGCUGUCUCAGAAAGGUCACUAAAUGUAUACUGUUAGAAUUGCUGAGAUCUCCCCCCACUUUUGUUUUUUGCAGUAGCAAAAACUCUUUCCACUGCGACUUCUUUUAUCUAUCUCAGGCAACCAGCCACCUGGUCCCUUGUGCUGACUCUAGCACAGUGGCCAGGAUCCGAUACGAGUCCUGGGGUGGUGGGGGCACCUUCAGCACAUCCGUGUGCACAGCUGGAAGGGUGCAUGGCCCGCCCACUUUUGUCCAGACGGGUGGAAAUGCUGAUGAUCCCAGCUCCUCCCUGCCGUGCCCCUGCCACGGAGCAGGCAUUGUGAACUGGCUGGUGUUUGCAGUCCCACGUGGUGUGGUCUCCAGCCCAACCCAUGGUGGAGACUGGAGACAGGGCAAUGAGUCCUGGUGGGAGGCACAUGGAUAUGCCCCAUAGGGGCCCCACCCAGGCUUAUAGGCAAGGUCCUGGGCACUGCGUGACGUAGGACUCAAUGCUGAAGCAAGCCUGCCUGGCUCUGUGCCAGGGCCCCCUUCUGAUUCACACAUCCCAUUUUUACACAGACCCUUCUUAAUAAAGGCUGACAGUUCUGUUGGCAGCCAAGAACCCACACCAUGAAGACAGGGAGUGAGGGGCCUUUGUGCCCAACCCCAGCACAGCUGCGUUCUGGGGUGUGUGAGAGGCAUGUUCGUGUCUGUGCGCUGGUGGUCUCGUGAGACAGUUCCGAGGACGGGGAAAUUGCUGGGUGGUGGGGGCAUGAGGCUUGUAUGUGGAACUGAUGCAGAGUUCGCCUGCAGAGGGAUCUGGAUAUAUGUUACGUAUAACUGUUACGUGUCAUUUAAAAUAUAUCUGUUUGCCAUCGUCAUGAGAAGAUUAUAUGUAAGGCUCUGAAGGGAGAGGGAGAUGUAUAUUCUGCCAGGCUCCUGUGGACUUUGAGUCAUGAAAUUGAUUACUGUUGAUCCAGCGGUGCAGGAAGCUACACUCCAUGUGUCAUCACGCUUAUGACUCCUAAUGGAUUUUUAAGGCAAAAAAUGUCAGCCGACUCCAUCUUCACCCCUCGAUUCCUCGAGUCCAGCCUUUCUGUGCCAGUGCUUCACUGAGCCACAACGCUCUCGCCAUUGGGACCCAGUUGGGCCUGGAAUCUCGGGGCACAGUUACCAUGGAGCCCUCCUGGGUCAUUCUACAAAUGUGCUGAGUGCCAGCUGAAAACCCCACAGGAGAUGGAGUACCUUGGCCAAGCUUAAAGAGAAGAUUUUCUCAGGGUAUCUAUUAGUAUGUCCAGCAGGGUCAGGAAGCAGGAUGGAAAGAUGCAUUCAGACUGUUAAUUUAUUAACAAGGCAAAUCAUUUUGUGUUUCUUGAUGACCGACUAUUAAGUUUGGGACUUAUUUUCCCAUUUGAGAAGUUAUAAUAUAUAUUUAAGAUAAGUUUCCUGCUUAAGUUGUGCCUUUCAGCUUCAACGAGUUUAAGGAGCACUAAGGGUAAUGAUACCAAUGAGGGUUGGUUUAUUAUCAAACCUGAAUAGCUGUGGUUUCUCCAGUAAAUAUUUUCUUCUACUGAACAUGGAGCCAUUAUUAAGAGUUGUGUGUUUUUUAUUAUGUACAUUUGUAUAUUUUUUUGCUUGUUUGAUGUUCUAUUUUUCUAAUAGUUUUCUUAUAGUUUCUUAAGGUUGUGAUACUAGAUUUAGAUUCCGAUGCUAACUGCAAAUCAGGUUGGUCUCUGCUGGGUCUCUCCUGCUUUUAUUUUACUUUAAGGACAAGUGUAGUUGUCGUCCACCACCUUUCAAAAAAUGUGAAACUGUCCUGCCUCCCCUUUUUGCUAACAACACUGUGUACAUUGACAACUUCCUACCAUACUUUAUGUUGUAAAAUCAAACUAUUUCGUGGUACAUUAUCUCAUGCUUCUGCAAAUUCUAAUAAAUUCUAUGGCUUCCAU
Nomascus leucogenys (northern white-cheeked gibbon) is the source of this 2224-nucleotide RNA transcript. RefSeq lists it as uncharacterized. The record is from RefSeq and is a predicted model, not a curated record. The transcript has a single exon. Lineage: Eukaryota; Metazoa; Chordata; Mammalia; Primates; Hylobatidae.